UACAGGGGGCGCGAGCGUUGCUCGGAAUCACUGGGCGUAAAGCGUACGCAGGCGGGUCGAUAAGUCCGUUGUGAAAUCCCGGGGCUCAACCCCGGAAAUGCGAUGGAGACUGCCGAUCUUGAGUACGGGAGAGGGGAGCGGAAUUCCUGGUGUAGAGGUGAAAUUCGUAGAUAUCAGGAGGAACACCGGUAGCGAAAGCGGCUCCCUGGCCCGAUACUGACGCUCAUGUACGAAAGCGUGGGGAGCAAACAGG
RNAcentral lists this ribosomal RNA (253 nucleotides) under uncultured bacterium. RNAcentral describes it as "partial 16S ribosomal RNA". It matches the Rfam family "Bacterial small subunit ribosomal RNA", at positions 524 to 776 of the family's 1533-position model. The record is from RNAcentral.